RNAcentral lists this ribosomal RNA (459 nucleotides) under uncultured bacterium. RNAcentral describes it as "partial 16S ribosomal RNA". It matches the Rfam family "Bacterial small subunit ribosomal RNA", at positions 338 to 795 of the family's 1533-position model. The record is from RNAcentral.
CCUACGGGUGGCAGCAGUGAGGAAUAUUGGUCAAUGGACGCAAGUCUGAACCAGCCAUGCCGCGUGCAGGAAGACGGCUCUAUGAGUUGUAAACUGCUUUUGUACGAGGGUAAACGCAGAUACGCGUAUCUGUCUGAAAGUAUCGUACGAAUAAGGAUCGGCUAACUCCGUACCAGCAGCCGCGGUAAUACGGAGGAUUCAAGCGUUAUCCGGAUUUAUUGGGUUUAAAGGGUGCGAAGGCGGAAGAUCAAGUCAGCGGUAAAAUUGAGGGGCUCAACCCCUGCGAGCCGUUGAAACUGGUUGUCUUGAGUGGUUGAGAGGUAUGCAGAAUGUGAGGUGUAGCGGUGAAAUGCAUAGAUAUCACGCAGAACUCCGAUUGCGAAGGCAGCAUACCGGCGCACAACUGACGCUCAUGCACGAAAGCGUGGGUAUCGAACAGGAUUAGAUACCCGAGUAGUC